GCGAAGGAGGGCUAGGGUUCCGGUCCCGCAGGGGAUGCUGGUCCGAGAGCCGCCGGUUCCGCCAUCAGGCGGGACUCCACGGAGGGACAAAAGCCCGGGAGAC
RNAcentral lists this small RNA (103 nucleotides) under Thiobacillus sp. Its description in RNAcentral is "Guanidine-I sequence". It matches the Rfam family "Guanidine-I riboswitch aptamer". Rfam says of the family: This family represents a conserved RNA structure found upstream of the ykkC and yxkD genes in Bacillus subtilis and related genes in other bacteria. Lineage: Bacteria; Pseudomonadati; Pseudomonadota; Betaproteobacteria; Nitrosomonadales; Thiobacillaceae. The record is from RNAcentral.